GGGUGCAAAGCGUUACUCGGAAUACUGGGCGUAAAGCGUGCGUAGGCGGUUUGUUWAAGUCUGUCGUGAAGCCCCGGGCUCAACCUGGGAAUGCRWUGGAAACUGGCGAGCUAGAGUACSGGUAGAGGAGAGUGGAAUUCCCGGUGUWGCAGUGAAAUGCGUAGAGAUCGGGAGGAACAUCAGUUGCGAAGGCGGCUCUCUGGACCAGUACUGACGCUGAGGCACGAAAGCGUGGGGAGCAAACAGGAUUAGAUACCCUGGUAGUCCACGCCCUAAACGAUGCGAACUGGACGUUGGGAGCAAUUAGGCUCUCAGUGUCGAAGCUAACGUGUUAAGUUCGCCGCCUGGGGAGUACGGUCGCAAGACUGAAACUCAAAGGAAUUGACGGGGGCCCGCACAAGCGGUGGAGUAUGUGGUUUAAUUCGAUGCAACGCGAAGAACCUUACCUGGCCUUGACAUCCACGGAAUCUUUGAGAGAUCAGAGAGUGCCUUCGGGAACCGUGAGACAGGUGCUGCAUGGCUGUCGUCAGCUCGUGUCGUGAGAUGUUGGGUUAAGUCCCGCAACGAGCGCAACCCUUGUCCUUAGUUGCCAGCACGUAAUGGUGGGAACUCUAAGGAGACUGCCGGUGACAAACCGGAGGAAGGUGGGGAUGACGUCAAGCCAUCAUGGCCCUUACGGCCAGGGCUACACACGUACUACAAUGGUGGGGACAGAGGGUCGCGAAGCCGCGAGGUGGAGCCAAUCCCAGAAACCCCAUCUUAGUCCGGAUCGGAGUCUGCAACUCGACUCCGUGAAGUCGGAAUCGCUAGUAAUCGCGGAUCAGCAUUGCCGCGGUGAAUACGUUCCCGGGCCUUGUACACACCGCCCGUCACACCAUGGGAGUUUGUUGCACCAGAAGCAGGUAGCUUAACCACGCAAGUGGAGGGCGCUUGCCACGGUGUGGCCGAUGACUGGGGUGAAGUCGUAACAAGGUAGC
This 977-nucleotide ribosomal RNA is filed under the name uncultured bacterium. RNAcentral's name for it is "bacterial SSU rRNA". It matches the Rfam family "Bacterial small subunit ribosomal RNA", at positions 529 to 1500 of the family's 1533-position model. The record is from RNAcentral.